AUUCCAGCUCCAGUAGCGUAUAUUAAAGCUGUUGCAGUUAAAAAGCUCGUAGUUGGAUCUUGGGCCCAGGCCUGCGGUCCGCCGUGAGGCGAGUACUGCAGUCCUGGCCUUCCUCUCGGUUUUCGCCCGGUGCUCUUAACUGAGUGCCAGGAGAGGCCGGAACGUUUACUUUGAAAAAAUCGGAGUGUUCAAAGCAGGCCUCGCGCCUGAACAGCAGAGCAUGGAAUAAUGGGAUAGGACCUCGGUUCUAUUGCGUUGGUUUUCGGAACUCGAGGUAAUGAUUAAGAGGGACUGACGGGGGCAUUCGUAUUGCGGUGUGUGAGGUGAAAUUCUUGGAUCGCCGCAAGACGACCGACUGCGAAAGCAUUUGCCAAGAAUGUUUUCAUCA
This 388-nucleotide ribosomal RNA is filed under the name Echinodermata sp. RNAcentral's name for it is "partial small subunit ribosomal RNA". It matches the Rfam family "Eukaryotic small subunit ribosomal RNA", at positions 582 to 975 of the family's 1831-position model. Lineage: Eukaryota; Metazoa; Echinodermata. The record is from RNAcentral.